This 547-nucleotide ribosomal RNA is filed under the name uncultured bacterium. Its description in RNAcentral is "bacterial SSU rRNA". It matches the Rfam family "Bacterial small subunit ribosomal RNA", at positions 355 to 896 of the family's 1533-position model. The record is from RNAcentral.
UGGGGAAUAUUGCGCAAUGGGGGGAACCCUGACGCAGCCAUGCCGCGUGAAUGAAGAAGGCCUUCGGGUUGUAAAGUUCUUUCGGUAUUGAGGAAGGUUGAUGUGUUAAUAGCACAUCAAAUUGACGUUAAAUACAGAAGAAGCACCGGCUAACUCCGUGCCAGCAGCCGCGGUAAUACGGAGGGUGCGAGCGUUAAUCGGAAUAACUGGGCGUAAAGGGCACGCAGGCGGUUAUUUAAGUGAGGUGUGAAAGCCCCGGGCUUAACCUGGGAAUUGCAUUUCAGACUGGGUAANUAGAGUACUUUAGGGAGGGGUAGAAUUCCACGUGUAGCGGUGAAAUGCGUAGAGAUGUGGAGGAAUACCGAAGGCGAAGGCAGCCCCUUGGGAAUGUACUGACGCUCAUGUGCGAAAGCGUGGGGAGCAAACAGGAUUAGAUACCCUGGUAGUCCACGCUGUAAACGCUGUCGAUUUGGGGGUUGGGGUUUAACUCUGGCGCCCGUAGCUAACGUGAUAAAUCGACCGCCUGGGGAGUNCNNNCGCAAGGUUA